CAAUAGCGUAUAUUAAAGUUGUUGCAGUUAAAAAGCUCGUAGUUGGAUUUCUGGUCGUGGUCGCCGGUCGUGCCCAAACGGGUUCUGUACCUGGCGCCCGCGUCCAUCCUCGGGGAGAGCGUGUCUGGCAUUAAGUUGUCGGGCUCGGGACCCCCGUCAUUUACUGUGAGCAAAAUAGAGUGUUCAAAGCAGGCCUACGCUUGAAUACAUUAGCAUGGAAUAAUGGAAUAGGACUUUGGUGCUAUUUUGUGGUUUAUGGGACCGAAGUAAUGAUUAACAGGGACAGUUGGGGCCGUUUAUAUUUCGUUGUCAGAGGUGAAAUUCUUGGAUUUACGAAAGAUAAACUUCUGCGAAAGCAUUCGGCAAGGAUGUUUUCAUUGAUCAAGAACGAAAGUUAGGGGAUCGAAGAUGAUCAGAU
Molecule: ribosomal RNA, 418 nt
Filed under: uncultured eukaryote
Lineage: Eukaryota
Description: bacterial SSU rRNA
Rfam family: Eukaryotic small subunit ribosomal RNA
Source: RNAcentral